GAGUGAGUGAAUGGGGAACACAGUGGGUCCCGGGGAACAGGACAGGAGGGGAACACAGUGGGUCCCGGGGACAGGACAGGAGGGGAACACAGUGGGUCCCUGGGACAGGACAGACAAGAAAGAUGGGCGAGGACAGGAUGGGGGAGAGAAAGAUGGGCGGGAUCAGGACGGGGAAGAGUGAGUGAGUUGGGUCUCACGCCGCUUUUAGCAAUAUUCCAGCACUAUUACGAUGGGGGACACCAGAAA
Long non-coding RNA from Haliotis rubra (blacklip abalone), 246 nucleotides. RefSeq lists it as uncharacterized. Lineage: Eukaryota; Metazoa; Mollusca; Gastropoda; Lepetellida; Haliotidae. The record is from RefSeq and is a predicted model, not a curated record. The transcript has 3 exons.